This 574-nucleotide long non-coding RNA is filed under the name Monodelphis domestica (gray short-tailed opossum). Its description in RNAcentral is "lncRNA (ENSMODG00000044879.1)". Lineage: Eukaryota; Metazoa; Chordata; Mammalia; Didelphimorphia; Didelphidae. The record is from RNAcentral.
GAAAUGAAAAUGACAUGAAAGAAAAUGAAGAUCAAUGAAGAAAAUGAAGGGCAUCUGUACCAAAUCAAGAAAAUCUGUACUGGAGGAAACAAAAUGUUGAAGGUGUUAAGUAGUUGAUUCCCAAGUUGUCUGAAACAAGGGGAGAAAUCUAAUAUUUGGAAAAAUCACCAAUAUUAUUACUGCCUAAAAAAAGGAACUUGGAGGAAAGGUUUCAGAAUAUUGGUUGGACCACUAUGGGAAGACUUGGCCAAGAGUUCUAUGGAAUGAGAAAACAUGGAUGAUGUGAUUUAUACUCCUGGAAGGACUCCAUACUAAUGGGAUCAUGUGUUCUGUAUCUCUUGAAAAACCAGAGAUAUAGGAUGUGGAGGUUCCAGACGAUUGGCACAUCACAUCAGUGUCAUAGAAGAUUCUUUAAUAAAUGUAGACCUAAAAUAAAAAUCUGCAUCAUAAGUCUAAUGCUUCUUUCUAUUACUUUAUUUUUGCAAGUUAACAGACCCCACAAACUCAGGAAACCAUUAUGAAUUAUUUGCAAGUGGUGAUGUAAUAAUUAUUCCAUAAAUUUGGAAAUUGGGCU